RNAcentral lists this non-coding RNA (118 nucleotides) under Geoalkalibacter subterraneus. RNAcentral's name for it is "MoCo sequence". It matches the Rfam family "Molybdenum/Tungsten riboswitch aptamer (Moco RNA motif)". Lineage: Bacteria; Pseudomonadati; Thermodesulfobacteriota; Desulfuromonadia; Desulfuromonadales; Geoalkalibacteraceae. The record is from Rfam by way of RNAcentral.
UCUUACCCUGCUCUCCGAGCCUUGCCGCCUACCGGAAAUCUCUCAUGGCGACCGGCCGACGGGUUGCGUUGGAAACGGCGCAGCCUCCCUUUCGGAAAGGAGAUGCGUUUUUUGUCUA